AGCGAACGUUAGCGGCGGGCCUAACACAUGCAAGUCGAACGAGAAUGAGGGGGCAACUCCUCUAGUAAAGUGGCGGACGGGUGCGUAACACGUUGGUAAUCUACCUCCCGGCGGGGGACAACAGUCCGAAAGGAUUGCUAAUACCGCAUACGUCGGCGAGAUCUCCGGAUCUUGUCGGGAAAGAUGGCCUCUCCUUGGAAGCUGUCACCGGAAGAUGAACCUGCGGCCCAUCAGCUGUUGGUGAGGUAACGGCUCACCAAGGCUAAGACGGGUAGCUGGUCUGAGAGGAUGAUCAGCCACACUGGGACUGCGACACGGCCCAGACUCCUACGGGAGGCAGCAGUGGGGAAUAUUGGACAAUGGGCGAAAGCCUGAUCCAGCCAUGCCGCGUGAGUGAUGAAGGCCUUAGGGUUGUAAAGCUCUUUUACUCGGGAAGAUAAUGACUGUACCGAGAGAAUAA
This 460-nucleotide ribosomal RNA is filed under the name uncultured bacterium. Its description in RNAcentral is "bacterial SSU rRNA". It matches the Rfam family "Bacterial small subunit ribosomal RNA", at positions 29 to 489 of the family's 1533-position model. The record is from RNAcentral.